AAAUCAAUUUUUAUACCAAUUCCAUUUAUUCAAUUUCCAAAUACAUCACAACCAAUCGUUCAAUUUCAUAAAUCCGUGUUUCCAUCGAAAAACUAGAAAAUCAUAUUCAUAUCCAUUUCACAUUACAACAUUUAAGCAUUUACAUUCAACCAAAAUUACAAGUGCAAGACAAUUUCAAUCACAAACUACAAUGAACUGUCCCAAGUGCACUUAAACUAACAUGGCCUAUGUUUCCCAUUUAGGUUCCUAAAACAUCCAAUUUCAACCAUAAUUUCCAUAGCCAUUUCCUUCGAGCAAUGUGCAGCUCUAUGUUUUAGCAUAAGUUGAAUCCCAAACCUAUAGAAAGAUCUCAGUUCCGACAUUAACAUCAUAAUGCGUUUUGCUAAACAUCCACAUAUUAUGCCCAAGUGCUUUCACACAUCACUAAUUAAGUUAAACCAUUGAGCAUAAGAUGCCAAAGAUCAUUUGAUUAACAUAACAUACCAAGUUUAAUAUGAAGCAACCUAGUUUUAUUAACUUAACUAUAGUAGCAGUUAUAAACAUCCUUAAGAUUUUCUAGUUCUAACAUCAUACAUUCCAUAAGCAACUCUAAUCCAAGUAAGUGUUUACAACUCUAAUCCAAGUAAGUGUUUACGACAGUAGCAAUUUAAAUGAGUUAGUAGCCAAAUGAAUGAUGAAUAAUGACCUGCUCAAAGCAUCUGAAGAGAUAACAGGGCCUUGCAUAAGCCUUCCCACCUUCCUGUAAAAUUACCAGCUUACUGCAUAAUUAUAACAACAAGAUCAACAAUUAACAUUACAUCACAUAACCUGUUCAAAUUACAGUUCACAAAAAACAAUUUCAAAACUAACGAGUCCAAUUGGCAAUCUCAUAACAGAUCCAUAACUAACUCCUUCUCCUAACCAAUUCAACAUACCAAUAACUAACUUUCAUUUCUAACUAACUAGUUAACUGAAUCAUUAACACCAUCACAGUUAAUAAUUGAUUUACACAGGGUGAUUUAACAGAGCUCAAACUCUGUUAGUGCUGAGGUUCUAUAUGUACUUCACAUCACAAUCUCAAGGACUCCACAUAGUUUUCACCAUCGAUUUCCUCAUAUCCCUCAUUCUCACAACUCUCUCGAAAACCUCACACAAAGCCCUAUUAGGAAGCCCUUUGGAGCUUCACAUCAAAGCUCCAGUUAUGCUUGAGCUAGGCUUUAUCCUCAAUCGAUUCACGUAGAGUAUUUCAUUCACACAGAAUCGACUCACGCAACGCAACCAUGCUUAGAAGAACAGAAGUGAGAAGAAGAAGAUUGGAAGAAAGUGAAGUGUUUACGAGAAGAAGAAGAUUGGAAGAAAGUGAAGUGUUUACGAGAAGAAGAAGAAGCAUACAUAGGGAUACAUGUUUCUUGCCAUUGUGUCAAAUCCAGCGAGUUCUUCUUCUUGCUUCAAUUUACGAUUCGUCUCGAUCUCGCGUUGCAAUUUCAUUUUGGUUUUGGUUGAUGAAGAUGGUGACGGACGCGAAUAGGAGUGUGUUAUUGAUUUCGUGGUUCAAAAACCUUGAUGAAACAUUGAACAGUUGAAUGGACUUGAGUCAGAACGUGUGAGAGUGAAGGAUGAAAUUUUCGUUUGCGCUGCUGAGGAUCGAUCCUUGGCCUGGAUUGGUUGAUGCGUUAGACUUGAACGUGAAUCCAUGGACCUGGUUUGCAUAAGAGUAGGAUUGUGGUGGUGAUUUCGUGGUUCAAAAUUUUUAGUGUACAUUGAACGAUUAAAAGGAGUUGAGUCAGAAUGCAUGAGAUUGAAGGAUGAAAUUUUGUCUGCGCCGCUGAGGAUCGAGCUUUGACCAGGUUCAUUUUCAUUGCCCGGAUAAUGAACCUGUGGAAUUGGAUCCGGUGGACUUCAUUGCCCAUUUCUUGUUUUAAUUCUUUUGUUUUGUUUGAUUAGUGUUUGUUUUACUUUCUUAAUUGUUGAUUAAUUAGACUAAUUAGGAAUUUAGUUAGGAUUAAUUGAAUUAAUAUGGUAGAUAUUUUAGAAUUUAAUUAAAAUUAGGAUUUUAAUUUUUAAUUAGAAUUAAUCGUUCUAAGUAGAAAUAAUCAGAAUGAUUGAUUUUAAUUAGAAUUUUAAUUCUAGUUUUAAUUCCAUAAUU
Molecule: long non-coding RNA, 2125 nt
Filed under: Lathyrus oleraceus (garden pea)
Lineage: Eukaryota; Viridiplantae; Streptophyta; Magnoliopsida; Fabales; Fabaceae
Description: Pisum sativum (pea) long non-coding RNA (PSAT_LNC033551)
Source: RNAcentral